RNAcentral lists this transfer RNA (76 nucleotides) under Candidatus Woesebacteria bacterium. RNAcentral describes it as "tRNA-Phe". It matches the Rfam family "tRNA". Rfam says of the family: Transfer RNA (tRNA) molecules are approximately 80 nucleotides in length. Their secondary structure includes four short double-helical elements and three loops (D, anti-codon, and T loops). Further hydrogen bonds mediate the characteristic L-shaped molecular structure. tRNAs have two regions of fundamental functional importance: the anti-codon, which is responsible for specific mRNA codon recognition, and the 3' end, to which the tRNAs corresponding amino acid is attached (by aminoacyl-tRNA synthetases). tRNAs cope with the degeneracy of the genetic code in two manners: having more than one tRNA (with a specific anti-codon) for a particular amino acid; and 'wobble' base-pairing, i.e. permitting non-standard base-pairing at the 3rd anti-codon position. Lineage: Bacteria; Candidatus Woeseibacteriota. The record is from RNAcentral.
GCUGAGGUAGCCAAGGUGGUCAAGGCGCAUGUUUGAAGAACAUGACAUACAGGUCCGACUCCUGUCCUCAGCACCA